Molecule: small nucleolar RNA, 134 nt
Organism: Lepisosteus oculatus (spotted gar)
Lineage: Eukaryota; Metazoa; Chordata; Actinopteri; Semionotiformes; Lepisosteidae
Source: Ensembl
GCAUGGCUGAAUUCUGUAAUACUCAUGUCAGUAGUAUAUGCAGUCAGACACCAUGCCAGAUUAUCAUUCACUCUUUAUAACACAGUGAUAAGAUCUUCAGUAUCCAUCUACUUUACGCAAGAGUGAAUACAAUC